CUGGAUAACAGCAGCUGAAGAUCUGUGAUCGGGGUGAUGAUGGAGUUUUGGUCUGAAAAUCAGAGACAAUCGCACGUUUACUCCAGACUUGCUAUCACAACCGGCAUCAGAUGUCUCAUUAUCCUUUGACCUUUGGAACGGAAAGAGAGUCCAGUGAAUGGACUCACCCAGCAUCAAGAGCUGCUC
Molecule: long non-coding RNA, 186 nt
Organism: Nematolebias whitei (Rio pearlfish)
Lineage: Eukaryota; Metazoa; Chordata; Actinopteri; Cyprinodontiformes; Rivulidae
Exons: 3
Source: RefSeq, a predicted model, not a curated record